UACGAAGGGUGCAAGCGUUACUCGGAAUUACUGGGCGUAAAGCGUGCGUAGGCGGUUUGUUAAGUCUGUCGUGAAAGCCCUGGGCUCAACCUGGGAAUUGCGAUGGAUACUGGCAAGCUAGAGUACGGUAGAGGAUGGUGGAAUUCCCGGUGUAGCGGUGAAAUGCGUAGAGAUCGGGAGGAACACCCGUGGCGAAGGCGGCCAUCUGGACCAGUACUGACGCUGAGGCACGAAGGUCAGGGGAGCAAACGGG
This 253-nucleotide ribosomal RNA is filed under the name uncultured bacterium. Its description in RNAcentral is "partial 16S ribosomal RNA". It matches the Rfam family "Bacterial small subunit ribosomal RNA", at positions 524 to 776 of the family's 1533-position model. The record is from RNAcentral.